RNAcentral lists this transfer RNA (93 nucleotides) under Limosilactobacillus mucosae. RNAcentral's name for it is "Lactobacillus mucosae tRNA-Ser". It matches the Rfam family "tRNA". Rfam says of the family: Transfer RNA (tRNA) molecules are approximately 80 nucleotides in length. Their secondary structure includes four short double-helical elements and three loops (D, anti-codon, and T loops). The record is from RNAcentral. Lineage: Bacteria; Bacillati; Bacillota; Bacilli; Lactobacillales; Lactobacillaceae.
UGGAAGCAUGGCUGAGCGGUUUAAAGCGCCAGUUUGCUAAAUUGGUAAAGUCCUUUUAUAGACUUUCGCAGGUUCGAAUCCUGCUGCUUCCGU